This 433-nucleotide ribosomal RNA is filed under the name uncultured bacterium. RNAcentral's name for it is "bacterial SSU rRNA". It matches the Rfam family "Bacterial small subunit ribosomal RNA", at positions 958 to 1392 of the family's 1533-position model. The record is from RNAcentral.
AACGCGAAGAACCUUACCCAGGCUUGAACUGCAGGUGACAUCCUACGAAAGUAGGCUUCCGCAAGGACACCUGUAGAAGUGCUGCAUGGCUGUCGUCAGCUCGUGUCGUGAGAUGUUGGGUUAAGUCCCGCAACGAGCGCAACCCUUGUCUUCUGUUGCCAUCAGGUUAUGCUGGGCACUCUGAAGAGACUGCCGGUGACAAACCGGAGGAAGGUGGGGAUGACGUCAAGUCCGCAUGGCCUUUAUGUCCAGGGCUACACACGUGCUACAAUGGGCGGUACAAAGGGUUGCAAAGCCGCGAGGCAGAGCUAAUCCCAAAAAACCGUCCUCAGUUCGGAUUGCAGUCUGCAACUCGACUGCAUGAAGCUGGAAUCGCUAGUAAUCCCGGAUCAGCACGCCGGGGUGAAUACGUUCCCGGGCCUUGUACACACCG